GGCCGACUGGCCCAAUGGCAAGGCGUGAGUGGGUUCAACUUUGAAAAAUAGUCACGAUAUUGACUGUGAUUAUUAGGCUUGACUACGAAUCAAGAGGUAAUAAUGAAAAAUAUGCCUUGAUAAUAACAACAUUAACUCAGUGUAGAUUGCGGGUUCGAAUCCCGUGUUGGUCA
RNAcentral lists this transfer RNA (173 nucleotides) under Endocarpon pusillum. RNAcentral describes it as "tRNA-Und (NNN) (tRNA-Und-NNN-3-1)". The record is from RNAcentral. Lineage: Eukaryota; Fungi; Ascomycota; Eurotiomycetes; Verrucariales; Verrucariaceae.